CGCGUGGGAGACACACAGCGGGUGCUAACGUCCGUUGUGAAAAGGGAAACAACCCAGACCGUCAGCUAAGGUCCCGAAAUCCUGGUUAAGUGGGAAACGAUGUGGGAAGGCUCAGACAGCUAGGAGGUUGGCUUAGAAGCAGCCAUCCUUUAAAGAAAGCGUAAUAGCUCACUAGUCGAGUCGGCCUGCGCGGAAGAUGUAACGGGGCUAAACCAGGUACCGAAGCUACGGGUGCAUUCUUCGGAAUGCGCGGUAGAGGAGCGUCGUGUACGCCAAUGAAGGUAGAUUGAGAAGUCUGCUGGAGGUAUCACGAGUGCGAAUGCUGACAUGAGUAACGAUAAAGGGUGUGAAAAACACCCUCGCCGGAAGACCAAGGGUUUCUGUUCGACGCUAAUCGGAGCAGAGUGAGUCGGCCCCUAAGGCGAGGCCGAAAGGCGUAGUCGAUGGGAAACGGGUCAAUAUUCCCGUACCGGACAUGAUUGCGAUGGGGGGACGGAGAAGGCUAGGUGAGCCAGGCGUUGGUAGCCCUGGUGAAAGUCAGUAGGCUGAGAUCUCAGGUAAAUCCGGGAUCUUAAGGCCGAGAGACGAGACGAAGACACCCCGGUGUUGAAGUCACUGAUGCCACGCUUCCAAGAAAAGCCUCUAAGCAACAGAUUAUGUGCGACCGUACCCCAAACCGACACAGGUGGUCAGGGUGAGAAUCCCCAGGCGCUUGAGAGAACUCGGGUGAAGGAACUAGGCAAAAUGGUGCCGUAACUUCGGGAGAAGGCACGCCGCUGUUACGUGAAGCCCCUCGCGGGCGGAGCGGAGAGCGGUCGAAGAUACCAGGUGGCUGCAACUGUUUAUUAAAAACACAGCACUCUGCUAACGCGCAAGCGGACGUAUAGGGUGUGACGCCUGCCCGGUGCCGGAAGGUUAAAUGAUGGUGUUAGCCGCAAGGCGAAGCACUUGAUUGAAGCCCCGGUAAACGGCGGCCGUAACUAUAACGGUCCUAAGGUAGCGAAAUUCCUUGUCGGGUAAGUUCCGACCUGCACGAAUGGCGUAAUGAUGGCCACGCUGUCUCCACCCGAGACUCAGUGAAAUUGAAAUCGCCGUGAAGAUGCGGUGUACCCGCGGCUAGACGGAAAGACCCCGUGAACCUUUACUAUAGCUUCACACUGGACGCUGAUGUUGCCUGUGUAGGAUAGCUGGGAGGCUUAGAACCCGUGACGCCAGUUGCGGUGGAGCCAGCCUUGAAAUACCAGCCUGGCAUCAUUGGCGUUCUCACUUAGGUCCGUGAUCCGGAUCGAGGACAGUGUGUGGUGGGUAGUUUGACUGGGGCGGUCUCCUCCCAAAGUGUAACGGAGGAGCACGAAGGUACCCUCAGCACGGUCGGACAUCGUGCAAUGAGUGCAAGAGCAUAAGGGUGCUUAACUGCGAGACCGACACGUCGAGCAGGUGCGAAAGCAGGUUCUAGUGAUCCGGUGGUUCUGUAUGGAAGGGCCAUCGCUCAACGGAUAAAAGGUACUCCGGGGAUAACAGGCUGAUACCGCCCAAGAGUUCACAUCGACGGCGGUGUUUGGCACCUCGAUGUCGGCUCAUCACAUCCUGGGGCUGAAGUCGGUCCCAAGGGUAUGGCUGUUCGCCAUUUAAAGUGGUACGCGAGCUGGGUUUAGAACGUCGUGAGACAGUUCGGUCCCUAUCUGCCGUGGGCGUAGGAUGUUUGAGAAGGGCUGCUCCUAGUACGAGAGGACCGGAGUGGACGCACCUCUGGUGUUCCGGUUGUCACGCCAGUGGCAUUGCCGGGUAGCUAAGUGCGGACGGGAUAACCGCUGAAAGCAUCUAAGCGGGAAGCCCCCUUCAAGAUGAGACAUCCCUGAGGCCAUGAGCCUCCUAAAGGGCCCAGCAAGACCAGCUGGUUGAUAGGUCGGAUGUGGACGCGCUGCAAGGCGUUGAGCUAACCGAUACUAAUGGCCCGUGAGGCUUGACCCU
This 1971-nucleotide ribosomal RNA is filed under the name Halomonas llamarensis. RNAcentral describes it as "partial 23S ribosomal RNA". It matches the Rfam family "Bacterial large subunit ribosomal RNA", at positions 974 to 2925 of the family's 2925-position model. The record is from RNAcentral. Lineage: Bacteria; Pseudomonadati; Pseudomonadota; Gammaproteobacteria; Oceanospirillales; Halomonadaceae.